CCUACGGGUGGCAGCAGUGGGGAAUAUUGCACAAUGGGGGAAACCCUGAUGCAGCGACGCCGCGUGAGUGAAGAAGGAAUUCGUUAUGUAAAGCUCUAUCAGCAGGGAAGAAAAUGACGGUACCUGAGUAAGAAGCCCCGGCUAACUACGUGCCAGCAGCGGCGGUAAUACGUCGGGGGCAAGCGUUAUCCGGAUUUACUGGGUGUAAAGGGAGCGUAGACGGAGAAGCAAGAUAGUUGUGAAAUCCCUCGGCUUAACUGAGGAACUGCAACUAAAACUACUUCCCUUGAGUACUGGGGAGGAAAGUGGAAUUCGUGGUGUAGCGGUGAAAUGCGUAGAUAUUAGGAGGAACACCAGUGGCGAAGGCGGCUUUCUGGACAGUAACUGACGUUGAGGCACGAAGGUGUGGGGAGCGAACAGGAUUAGAUACCCGUGUAGUC
Molecule: ribosomal RNA, 440 nt
Filed under: uncultured bacterium
Lineage: Bacteria
Description: partial 16S ribosomal RNA
Rfam family: Bacterial small subunit ribosomal RNA
Source: RNAcentral